Molecule: ribosomal RNA, 465 nt
Filed under: Vreelandella stevensii
Lineage: Bacteria; Pseudomonadati; Pseudomonadota; Gammaproteobacteria; Oceanospirillales; Halomonadaceae
Description: partial 16S ribosomal RNA
Rfam family: Bacterial small subunit ribosomal RNA
Source: RNAcentral
CCUACGGGGAGCAGCAGUGGGGAAUAUUGGACAAUGGGCGAAAGCCUGAUCCAGCCAUGCCGCGUGUGUGAAGAAGGCCUUCGGGUUGUAAAGCACUUUCAGUGGGGAAGAAAGCCUUGGGGCUAAUACCCUCGAGGAAGGACAUCACCCACAGAAGAAGCACCGGCUAACUCCGUGCCAGCAGCCGCGGUAAUACGGAGGGUGCGAGCGUUAAUCGGAAUUACUGGGCGUAAAGCGCGCGUAGGCGGUCUGAUAAGUCGGUUGUGAAAGCCCCGGGCUCAACCUGGGAACGGCAUCCGGAACUGUCAGGCUAGAGUGCAGGAGAGGAAGGUAGAAUUCCCGGUGUAGCGGUGAAAUGCGUAGAGAUCGGGAGGAAUACCAGUGGCGAAGGCGGCCUUCUGGACUGACACUGACGCUGAGGUGCGAAAGCGUGGGUAGCAAACAGGAUUAGAUACCCGGGUAGUC